CGCGCCUGUUGCCUGAGAUACCCCCGCCCCCGCCCUCACUGCCCGGAGUCCUUCUGCGUCCAAGAUGGCGUCCGAGCUUUAUUUUUAGAGCACCAGGAACAAAGCGCGUUGCGUAGCAUUGAGUUUAGCAGAAAGCAAGAGUUGUGUGGCUGGCUUUAAUGUCUGCUGUGUUUGGUUGGCUGUUCACACAAUACCCAGACUCCCAGAGCUGCCACAGGUGUCCUAAGUUCACACAGCCACCCUUCAUCCUGCCUCAAGUGGAGCUUUGUCCCGUGUCUGAGCAUGGUGUCUGCUGUGUGGAAAUAAGAACUGUCUCACAAAACUGAGCCUCAAAAGAGAGUUGGCCACUGACAACAGCAGGACAGACAAGGAUUCUCAAGACCACGCAACGUAUAUUUAUCAAACUGGUGGCCACACUGCUCUAGGUAGUGCAGAAAAAAAAAA
Molecule: long non-coding RNA, 444 nt
Filed under: Heterocephalus glaber (naked mole-rat)
Lineage: Eukaryota; Metazoa; Chordata; Mammalia; Rodentia; Bathyergidae
Description: lncRNA (ENSHGLG00000035682.1)
Source: RNAcentral